Perognathus longimembris pacificus (Pacific pocket mouse) is the source of this 191-nucleotide long non-coding RNA. RefSeq lists it as uncharacterized. The transcript is spliced from 3 exons. The record is from RefSeq and is a predicted model, not a curated record. Lineage: Eukaryota; Metazoa; Chordata; Mammalia; Rodentia; Heteromyidae.
GAAGAGGCUCUAUUUUCUCCAUUGUAUGUCUUUGGCUCCUUUGUCAAAUAUCAGCUGACUCUAAGUAUCUGGUUUUAUUUCCGGGUCUUCUACACUAUUCCAUUGAUCUUUGGGUUUGUUUUUGUGCCAGUACCAGGCUGUUUUUGUUACAAUGGCUCUGUAAUAAAGCUUGAGGUCUGGCAUGUGAUACU